Musa acuminata AAA Group (dessert banana) is the source of this 1957-nucleotide long non-coding RNA. RefSeq lists it as uncharacterized. The transcript is spliced from 2 exons. The record is from RefSeq and is a predicted model, not a curated record. NCBI's taxonomy places the organism in Eukaryota, Viridiplantae, Streptophyta, Magnoliopsida, Zingiberales, Musaceae.
ACCCUGUUUCUUUUCCAUGUUAGUUUGUUUUUUCUCUAUUAGGACUUGCAUUGUCUGCAUCAGAAGAAAGUUCUCAUGCAAGUCACUUUGGACGGCCACCAUGUAGUAGAAUAGGUAGAAAAACUCUUUUAAGGAUGUGUCAUCAACCACCACCACCACCUAAUUUUGAUCUUAGUAUGAAAUGGUCCUUCUUGUACGUACAUACAUCAGAACAGAUGAGGGAGCGUGCAAGGUAUUCAAUCCCUUGAGUCGAAGAGACAAUGAUGACUUCAACUACCAGCUUUUGGGACUGAUAAAUACAUGUAAAACAAUAGGUUUCUCUCCCUAGAAAUUAGUCCCCCGUGGUUGUCAAGUUCCCUACAGUUGGUCCACAUGCCCAUUCAAUGCCAUUAAGAGGCCAUGUGAAGUGUUGGAGUUCUCACACGAUCCUAUCUCCCUCCCUCCCUAGGGUGCCCUAUCUCCUGCACAGAGUUCCAGAAAUCAUCUUUCCAUCAACUCAGGAUUAAAAAUAUCAUAAGCAUAUAUAUUGCAUCAACCACAAGAGAGUGGGUGAUCUUUUUGAAACUCUGCUUCUAAUCCUAAUUGUCUGGUCGAGAGAAUGCAGUCAGUCUCAGCUGCCGGCGUCGUCUUCUUGCUCCGCUCCCUUGUAUCUUCCAGAGUUGGUUCCACCACUUGACACUCGAUCUGAUGACAGUGAAUCGAGAGGUUCCAUGUGUCGCAGUUGGGUUUGUGUAGUUUAAUUAGGUUGUCUCAUUGGUCUGAACCACAUGAAUCUUAGAAUUUAGCCUUAGAUAUUGUCUCAUUAGGGGACAUGGAUUACCCUCGAACACUAGUAGCGUAUCUAAGCUGUCCUUGGGCGAAGCUAGGUUAGAGUUGUUGGUCUAUUUUGUCGACAUAAGAAAUAACAGGCAAACUAAGCGUGUCAGUGGGCGAAAGACGAUCUGAUCUGUUCUGCUUCCUCCGUGUCGAUUGCAACACGAGUACCAACCCGUGGCAGGUUUUCAGAUGUGGAUGGUUUCUGGGCAUCGACCCGUGAGGCCUUGAUGCUCUGAGAACAGCAAUGCCCACCUGCAAUCCUCUCUCUUUCCUCUUUCUUUUUUCUAGCCUGGUUUGACCGAGACAGGAGGAGUCACGAUUCAGCAUGAAUUCAUUUCUGCAAGGUGGUGUGGUACCCUUGGGUGCACCUCGGCCUCCAUCAUUGCAGGCAGGCUUGCAGCUGCCACCAUGAAAGCUCGAGUGCAGCAGAAGUUGGAAUUCUGAAUGCCAAAGGCGUGCCUUGAAUCGGAAACCUUAUUCUGGUGACUUGGUUAAUGCUUCGGUAGGCACAAGAUUAAUCUCACUACUUUUCGCAGUCUGUUCGCAUAUCGGACUGACUACAGACAAUAAUGCCAACCACUGUUCCGGUUGAUGGAUCAGUGGAUUCCGGCCACAUGCUCAUAAAUGAAGAUGACAAGAACCGAAAGAAACCCAACUGCAGGCACACAUCAAGAUGUAGACGGGGAUGAUCACAUCCAAUCAAAUGCUUCCCCUCCUCUCGAGAGAAGUCAUCAGAGCUUCCCUCUCGGAUAAAGCCUAGAUCGAUCGCUAGAAGAAGAAGAAGAAGAAGAAGUACAGAAAGAUUCACAGCACUCGAGCAAAAGGGACUCACUCAGGGGAACAAGAAUUGACAGAGUCAACCCUUCUCCAGCACAAGGAUUAAAAGAAAGGAACAAAAAAAGAUGAAGGAGCUCUUGCUCAAGAAUCAAACAGUCACAGUGUAAUAACAUCAUCAAUCAACUAUUAACAGCAUCAUUACAGCAAAAUAGAGCCAAUCAUCAUAGGAGGAGGACAUCAACAACAAGUAAUUUAAUUGCCAAGCUACAGCUAGAUAAGGACAUGUUCAUUUAUUGGUUUAGGAAUGUGUCAGAGAAUUGCAACAGCAACAGAUUGAUGACUACUCGAUGAAACUUCACUAAAA